Molecule: ribosomal RNA, 305 nt
Filed under: uncultured bacterium
Lineage: Bacteria
Description: bacterial SSU rRNA
Rfam family: Bacterial small subunit ribosomal RNA
Source: RNAcentral
CCCUACGGGGCGCAGCAGUAGGGAAUUUUCGUCAAUGGGCGCAAGCCUGAACGAGCAAUGCCGCGUGAACGAGGAAGGUCUUCGGAUCGUAAAGUUCUGUUGAAGGGGGAAAAGAGCGGAGAGAGGAAAUGCUUUCUGAUUGAUAUUACCCUUCGAGGAAGUCACGGCUAACUACGUGCCAGCAGCCGCGGUAAUACGUAGGUGGCGAGCGUUAUCCGGAAUGAUUGGGCGUAAAGGGUGCGUAGGCGGCCUGCUAAGUCUGGAGUGAAAGGUACCGGCUCAACCGGUACAGGCUCUGGAAACUG